RNAcentral lists this transfer RNA (72 nucleotides) under bovine gut metagenome. It matches the Rfam family "tRNA". Rfam says of the family: Transfer RNA (tRNA) molecules are approximately 80 nucleotides in length. The record is from RNAcentral.
GGGGUAUAGCUCAGCUGGCUAGAGCACCUGCCUUGCAAGCAGGGGGUCGUCGGUUCGAAUCCGACUAUCUCC